RNAcentral lists this ribosomal RNA (123 nucleotides) under Granulicatella seriolae. RNAcentral describes it as "partial 16S ribosomal RNA". It matches the Rfam family "Bacterial small subunit ribosomal RNA", at positions 1 to 114 of the family's 1533-position model. Lineage: Bacteria; Bacillati; Bacillota; Bacilli; Lactobacillales; Carnobacteriaceae. The record is from RNAcentral.
UAUCAUGAGAGUUUGAUCCUGGCUCAGGACGAACGCUGGCGGCGUGCCUAAUACAUGCAAGUCGAGCGGAGUUACAAGAGAUGCUUGCAUCUCUUGUAACUUAGCGGCGAACGGGUGAGUAAC